UUUAAUAUGGCAGAAUUAGUGCAAUGGACUUAAGACCCAUAUAUAAAAUUAAAAUUUUUAUUAAAA
Molecule: transfer RNA, 66 nt
Filed under: Andrena camellia
Lineage: Eukaryota; Metazoa; Arthropoda; Insecta; Hymenoptera; Andrenidae
Description: tRNA-Leu
Rfam family: tRNA
About the family: Transfer RNA (tRNA) molecules are approximately 80 nucleotides in length. Their secondary structure includes four short double-helical elements and three loops (D, anti-codon, and T loops).
Source: RNAcentral